Molecule: long non-coding RNA, 7509 nt
Filed under: Volvox carteri
Lineage: Eukaryota; Viridiplantae; Chlorophyta; Chlorophyceae; Chlamydomonadales; Volvocaceae
Description: long non-coding RNA (VCAR_LNC001951)
Source: RNAcentral
ACUCGAAGCAUUUCCCAUCGCAUACUUUAACCUAAUUAUUUUGGACAGGUGUCUAAUCUUUACUUGCUGAGCCCUCGUGCUGGAAAGGCCUCUUCAAACUUCACCCUUGACCCCUUGCCCCUCUCCCCCUCCUCCCCCAUAUUGCAAACAUUGUAGUACCGUGUCCCAUUGUAGUAUCCGUGUUCAUGACUUACUACUAGGGAUGGGUGCCCACCAGGAGCUUCCAAACCCCUCAUCGCCGCUUAAUCGCUCUCCCCAAAAAAUUUCCCCGCAGGCGGAGGAGGAUGCAGCACUCAUCUGGCCUUUCCUGGACCGCAUGUCAUCGCUGUCGCCAGAUGCAACGGGCACUGACCUCGACGAUGCAGCCUGCUGGCGGAGCAUCACGGAGACUGCUGCGGAACUGGUUUCUCCAAGCGUGGGGAAGGUAUGAGAGCUGCGGCAGCAGCGGCCAAUCGUACAUCCGUAGAUCCGCAGCCGGGCCCUAAAUGACGUUUGGACGGAUUGAGACCUAUCGGGCGAGGCGCUGAGGCGGAAAGAUCUUGAACGGACGGACCGCGUGUUUGGGACCAGAGCUGGCACCUGGGUUGGUGCCACAAUCUGUGAGCCCUUCUCCCCUUACACCGUCCUCCAGUCCCUCUCUCUCCCUCUCUUCCUGGGGAGCUAUGCAGCCACGGACCGCAGCCAAAGGGACUGCUAACUGCUGUCACGGAUCGGACUCUUUUCUGUUUGGGCACAGGUAGGUAUGCAGCCCAUACCGUACAGGAGGCGCCGCCUGUCUCGGAACUGCUACCGCAGCCUCAGCUACUCUUACCUCUUUACAGCCCACCUUCUCCCCGGUCAUCUUCGGAGUCAUCAGCAGCUGCUAUGUGGGGCUUACUCCUGCAACUGCCCUUCCUUCCCUUCUCCCAUCCCACCCUACCCCAUACAUGCCUCACGGCCUCAACGCCCUGACCCAUCUCUUCUGGGUUUGUUUAUCGGGCUCUUGAAUCCCUCCCCUCUGGUACACGAAUCGCGGCUAUGUGACCAUCUGGGUUGCAUAGCCAUCGAGGUCGCACAUCAGCUGAUCCCUGUGCCGCCUUUCCACAUCCCAUCUCGUUUACCUUGCGCUGAGCACUACCCUCAGUACCCCACCACCGUCAGUUCGGCUUUUAUGAUCGUGUUGAUUAACGUUCGGGUUCACUUCUGUCUACAAGGUAACCAUCACCACCACCACCGGUACUGUUAUUGCAACUGCUGCUCCUACUGCCGCAGCUCAUUCCGCUGACGUUGGGUUCCCGGCAAUACGGCGCCAAGCUGCAGAUGGUACGGCAGCUGGCGGAGCAGUUUCAUCCCCAUGAGGUGCGUGCUGUGAUGUGAUGUGGGGGAGGUGCUCGGGGGGUGGGGUGGGAGGUGGUGUGGAAAGAGGAAAUGGGUUGCGGCCAGGGAGAAAAAGGAGGAUUGUGCACGCACCUACAAAUGCUUGGCUUGGGGAUUGGGGUGGGGAUGGGGAUGGGCGGGGCAUAUGUCGGCAUGGAGGCGUAUCCACCUCUCGGCUCAACUGUGCCUCCGCUCACUUCCGGCUGCACUCCGCGCCCGGAUCCCCUCCUGGAGAGGACUCCGUAGUAGUGGCCUCGGAGCGUACCUCCCACUUCGUUAUGGGCUGCGCCCCAAUGAUGCCUUCCCUCCGUCUGCUCGGUUGAUCAUAUGUAUAUGUUGAUUGUUUGUUCUUGCGAAGGAAUGGAUUUCCUUCAGGGUUACCCACUAGCACACCACGCGCACACACAUACACUUCAAGCACCAUCCUCGUCAGUUCUUGCCCGCAGUUCGCCCGCCAUCGUUAAAGACACACACACACACACACUGCCCCUCCUCCUGGUAUUUUCUUUCGUCGAUCGUCAGUGCUUCGUCGCACCCUCCUCCUUCCGCCACCAGGUGUCAACCGCAACCGCCUCUUGCUGCUUCGUAGCUCUGGAGGGGCAGGUAGCCACCACACCACAGCAGCUUGCGGACCUCCUCACAUCAUCAUCAUCAUCACCAUCAUCAUCGUUGUCAACGUCAUCGUCAUCGACAAACCCGGAUUCGGAGCAGCUGUUCUCAUUCGAGCACAUCUACCGUGGGAAGGCCACCGGCAGCCUUGGCGGCGCGGAGACGUCCCGUGUGGCUAUCCUGUACGGCUCUCCUGGACUGCCGUGCUUUGGGCCGCUGUACGAGCAGCUCAAGACGGCGGUGGACGAGCAAUCUGUAGGAGAUGGCAGCGGUGGCGGCAAUGGUCUUAUGUUCGCAUUCCGGCCGCUGCUGACCACCACCUGCGAGGUGAGGGUGUGUUACGUGUGUUGCUCUUAUUGUUGGUGGUGGUGGUGGUGCUAGUGGUGGUGGUGGUGGUGGUGGUGAUGGAGGAGGCCGCAUGACUGCUGAAAGGUGGCUCCAUGGCGGACUGACCCACGGUUCAUCGCAGAAGCAGUGGGAGGGGUAAAAACUAGGUAGGGAAAAUGCAAAGUCAGGGUGAUGGAUGUAUUGAGUUGGCCAGAGAAGCAAAGGCCAAGCGAGCCAAGAGAGCAAUGCAGGUAUGCAGGACCUGUGUGGGGGUGGAGAGAGGCUUACACAGCUCCCAUCUCGCGGCACUCGCUCCUCCUUGGCCCGCUGAUCUUAAUCGCGCUUACGGGAACUACACAGACACGCAUACAUAUGCACAUGCACAUACACACAUAGCUUUUUCCCGAGCCAAGCCAACGUAUAGCGCUUCUCAGGCUUGCCACCGACCCCUGCGGUUGCUGUCCUGAACAAACUUACGUGUAGUUUACCCAACUGCGGCUCUCUUUCUUGCACUAACCUGACCCCGUCCUGCACACACCCGCCCGGGCUUAACCCUCCCUCGCAGCCGCUCUCUGGAUGUGCUCGCGCCGGCACGGGUGGCCAGUUGCUGCUGCCGGGGUGGGGUGUGGAGGCGGCGCUGAAGAACACGGAGUACAGCGCCAUGGACGACAAGGAGGUAGCCCGGCAGCGGCAGCAGCAGCAGCAGCAGGGUAAGAGGGUUUCAUAUGCGACGAGACACAAAGGGCAAGAAAAGAGAGUAAUAAGGGAGGCGAUGUCCAGGACAGGGAGCAACGCAAUGGCUGGCGGUUUCUUUUGCUCCUCCAGCACUUUCCUGGGGGUAUUUUUUUCUGUUUCCUCUGUGAACGAAUCGACGUCAUGGAAUGUUAGGAAUUUGAAUUUUUAUGUAUUUGAACGAAAUUGAAAGUCAGCAGCAAAGUAUGGGAAACUGGUGCGGGGUGGGGUGGUGCGGUGCAGGUGGCACCGAAGGCAGUGGCGACGACGAGGAGGGCGCCGCGGAGGAGGCGGACUUUGGCAGUGGCGAUGACGCUGUGGUGAAGGGCUUCCGACUGGACGUGUUGGCGGCUAGGCGACCGGAUCUGCGCUCUGAGCUGCUCACCUUCCGGGACCAGCUGCUGGCGGCAGAUGACGAGGAGUCAGCGGAACUUAAGGUGCGGUUGCCGGUGCGGGUGUGUGCAUGUUUCUUGUGCCAGUCGGGGGAGGGGGGAAAUAGUUCUGGGGACUUCGUGCCAAUGAUUUCCCGCCCAUCAACCCGCACACCCACCUACACGCCGCCGGGGGUCUUGCAUAUAGUUCCCCCCUACUUCAUGUACACUCUUUCCGUGGCAGCAGCUUCACGCGUUCGUAGUUCGUCUUUCCCCCCUAACCCGUUGGGCAGUUACAUAGCUGCAUUUCAUUCCGGAAACAGUUAGCGGACAAGGGGGGGGAUAGGGGCGGGGGGUAAAAUGGGUGGGCGGGCAGUUCAUUUUCCUGCUUUCUGUUCCCAACCCCACCCACCUACCUUUGGUGGUAAUGCUGUCCUGUGGUGACCCACACGGACACUCCCGUUCCCUUCCGGCCCGCCUGCGUUCAGGUGUGGGACCUACGCGAUGUGGGUCUGCAGGCCACUCAGCGCAUCCUGGGCUCCUCCGACCCGCUAGCGCUGCUGGCGGAGAUAUCGCAGAACUUCCCAGGCAUUGUGUCCAGCUUGUCACGACAGGUGCGGAAAGGGAGGGGAGGGAAAGCGAGGGGAGGGGACGGGAGGGGUGAGGAAAAGGGGAGUGGAGGGCAGCGGUGGGGAAGAGAGGGGAGGAGAUGCCGUUUUGCCUGCGUGAGUCUGUGAUUCUGCACUUGUUUUAAGACCUGGUAUCAUUUUUUGGGGUGGUUUGGGAAGCUUGGUAUGUCUUGCGUUUUCAUUUACCCGCCCCCUCUGCCUCUGCAUCUCAAAGCGCUGCCUGCCUUUAUUAUCCACACCUGGCCACCCGCACCCCGCUUCUCCCUCUCCGCACUCACCGCGCCGCCACUGCCGCGUACGGUUCCCUAAAAAUAACCUUCUCCGGGGGAGCUCCUUCCCUGCCCCAAAACCUUUGCAUAUAUUCCCCCCACCUCUAAACCCCGUCCUCCUCGUUUUUCCACCGCCGAGCCGCCAGGUGGUGAGCUCCUCCCUUAAGAACGCUGUGACCCACAACCAGCAAAUGGUGUCGGCGGGGGCCAAUUUCCUGCUGUUGAACGGCCUGGCGGUGGAUGUGAACAACUUGGAUUUCUUCGGUGAGUGCUUGAAUGAGUUGGCUGAGGGGGCGUGUGGUGGGUGGGUGCGUGCGGGUGGGUGGGUGGGUGUAUUUUUUUCUUUUUGUCCAUCUUAAGUGCCAAAAUCCCGCACGCACGCGCUCGCGCACGGCAGUCGUUCGUCUUUCCUAUCUAAAAUGUCGUACGCUUGUCGCCAUUCCCAACCCCCGUACUGUUUCUGGUCAUAACCUUUUCCAAGGAGACACACACGCUUAAAGUAUUUCUACAUCCGCCCUCUGCACGAAACUCCCCUACUCCCUUUCAUCGCGCAGUUUCCGAGUCGACCUUGUCCCGAGUCUUUCCGUGGGAAAGGGUGUGUUCUCUUCUUCCCCGUAACCCUCACCCUCCACGCAAAACACACGCACGCCUUCGCCCACGGCCACCCCUACGCCCACAGGUUUUCUGUCCCGUCUUCGUUCGGAGAUGCGGCUCCGUGACUCCCUGGUGGGGGCUCCCCUGGAGCUGUCUCCCAACCUGGCCAAGCAGGUCCUUGCGGCACGAGCGGAGGACGGCGCAGCAGCAGGAGCGGGAGGGGGAGGAGCAGGGGGAGAGGGGGAGCCGCGGCUCAGUCUGGGAUCAACAAGGUAUGUAUGUAGGUAGGUUACAUGUGGGCUGGGUUUUAAAGCGGCGAUGAGGUGGGUUUCAAGGUGUGUAUGUGCCUGUGGAGUGCUAGGAGAGGCUGGUGCCGCGUGCUAGGGGCUGGUGGUGGCUUUGCGUAGUGAUUGGAGUGCGUGCGGGGCUGGGGUGUGGUUUAUUGGGUGAUUUAAAUCCCGUCCAAAAUCUUUUGGGUUUUUAGGGGUUUAGGGUUUUAGGGUCCUCCACUGGCCCUCGGCUGUCCAAGGGAAGUCCAGAUGGGCUGCUUUUUCCCCGGGUUCCAGCCCCUCCUCCGGAGCAUUUCCUCAACUGAUUCCGUCUGCCUCCUCUCUGCCCUCGCUCCCCCCCCUCCUCUGUGCAAUCAAUAGAUGCCUUUGCCCCCUCCUCCUCCCGACCCAAACUCCGCUGUUGCCUUUCUGAGAACCCUACAGUCGCUCUUGGGGGCUUAUGUGCUUGUUUCCGUUCAUCCGGUCCCCCCGCCUUAAUCCUCUUCCCCUAUGUCCUCCCCGUGUAUCUUCCCCCCACCCCCUACCACCCGACCCAGCAGUGCCAUGUCCAAGCACGUCGCCUUUCUGAAUGACUUGGAGCGCGAUCCCAGGUGCCGUACAUGUCGUACGCGACGAGGGAGAGGCUUUAUUGUUAUUGGGGGUUGUGCUCGGGAUGCCUAAUGGUGUAGUGGUAUCUGUGUGGCUGGCGGAGGUGUCACGGUUCGUUGUUGGGGUGGGUAGGGGGAAGGGCUCAAGUCUGGGUUUCUUUCGCCUGCCCCCCUUGGCGUGGCAUAGCUUACCCUGCUCUGUACCAUGGAGACGUCUUUUCUUGGCGCCCGGUUUGUGAAUACACAGCUUCCACCCCGCGCCCCCGCCUCGUCUUCCUCCCAUCGACGUUUCCCCUCACCGCUCCACCCUUCCCCCUCCUGCAUUCCCUUUGGUCCACACAUGAUUCUUCCCCCUCCUCUCUCUCUCAUUUUCCCCUCAGGUUUCAGCGGUUUGGUCGCAACUUGGCUGAGCUGCUCAACACCUUCCCGGGCAGGUGCGGCGCCGUGCGUAUGUUGGGGGAAGGAGGGAGACGUGCCGGCUCAAGAGGACAGAGCCGUGACGUGCCUGUUUAAGAAACGUUCAUCCAAUGGGAAAUGAGACCUUCUCAGGGGCUUUUAAGAUCUCCCCAGGCGCCCCGGAACCCUUCACACGAUCAUAUCCCCGCAUAAGGUCCCUGUAAUUUGUUGGUGCGUAUUGGUGCGUUGGGAUGAGUUCACACAGCCUGUACACGUCUGCUACUCGGGCAAAGCCCGAUGGGAUACCGAAUCCGGCUCGAAUCUGGGAGGGAUGUACGCCUGUCUUUCGCCUACCUGCCCGUAGCCUACCCGACCGUGUGCUUCCCCAUUGCCUUCAGUGACAUGUUGCCACAUUGUUAUGCCUAACUGCUUAGGCUUCGUCCGCUAGCUCGCAACGUGUUCACUUCGGUGGUGGUUGUGGAGCCCCUAUGUUCGGAGUCCCUGGAGCUGGUGGCCAACAUCGACCGAAUGUGGCAGGGGGGUUACCCCAUUAGGUUUGGUGGGUAGGGCCGGAUGGGGGCUGCUGAGAGGAGGGUAUGGUGCCCGGGUGGCGGUGGGUGGGGGUGAGGGUGGGUGGGGGUGAGGGUGGGGUUGCUGGAGGAGACCCGGAUGGCUCCGUUGGGAGCCUAGGCAGAGGGCCAGGGAAGGCUAUUCCGAGGAGUAACCCCAUAUGUACGUGUCGUUGUGAUUGUUGUUGUUGUUGUUGUUGUUGUUGCUGCUGCUGUUAUGAUUAUUGAUAUUGCUACUGCGACUGCCGCUACGUCUACUUUUGGCUUGUUCCGGUGCUUCUGGUGCUGCUGCUCCUGCCGUUCCUGCGCUCUCUCGACUGACUUGCUCGACCCUUGCUGCUGCCCCUGCUACUGCUACAGGUGUUGUGUUUUACUUGCCCUCAGUGGUGAUGCGGGUGGUGCAGCAGCGCAAGUACCCGCACCUCCAGUCCGGGGCACCCUCCUGGGGGGAGAUGGACGCUAGGUGGGGCCUGUUUCGACGUGGGAUUGGGCGGCCGGUGCGCUGGGUCUGCAUACAUGUGUGUGUUGAUUUAAUGUGUGCUCUGCAAUGGAGCAGGCGUGCUGUUUCUUUUACCCGAUCCGCCAUCAGGCAUCGUCUCGUACUUUUUUCAUUUAGUUGCCUUUCGGGGCGUCCUCCCUGGGGCAUGCUCCGGCUCCUUCACCACGAAUCUUGGCCGCCUGGUGCGCUUAAUGUUCCGCCGCCUCAUCCUUACUCGUACCCACACGCACCUCCUAAACCCCUUACCUCCCUAUCACCCCCCUGGACCAACCCCCAGUGAG